This is a non-coding RNA of Notechis scutatus (mainland tiger snake), 3508 nucleotides long. The record is from RefSeq and is a predicted model, not a curated record. Lineage: Eukaryota; Metazoa; Chordata; Lepidosauria; Squamata; Elapidae.
UCCCCGGCCAGCAGCCGCGAGCCCUGCAGCUGUGGAGAAUAGGAGCAGGGGACGAGAUGUGGGCUGGUGAUGACUCUUCCCUGACUGACUCAGUUUUCCCUCUGCCACCAGCUGUGAGAGGAAGAUAAGUUUGAACUUUCGGGGUAUCAGUGUGGUGGGUGCUUGAGGGAGGGGAGGAAGUCCCACCCCCUUUGUUGGACCCAGUAGCCUUGCCUGCCAGCUUUUCCAGGCAACAUGAGACCAGGUGCGAACAAACAAUUGCACCUGGUUUCUGGGACUCUAGGAGACUGGCUGGGAAGAACGUAAGUUAAAGAGCAAUGUUGGAAGUGUGUGUGUGUGUGUGUGUGUGUGUGUGUGUGUAUAAUUAGAUCAAUUUCUUUUGAACAAUUUAAAUUCCUCUAGGCUGUAUGUUCUAGUCAUAGGUUUCAUUGUCAAGUUUUAGUAAUGGCUACAAUGUCAUAACUGCCCUUGUAUAGUACUUCAAGUCCACCAUUUCUCAUACGUUAUGCGUGAGUGUAUAGACAUCCAAGUCCCUUUUGACUGAUCCUGUAUUUGCUUCCUACAUCUGUUUUGUAUCUGAAUUCCUAUUCUUUUAGACUUGGUUGAUUUCCCUGAGAUUUAUGCUUGGAAUUAGCUUCUAAAAGUUCAUCUCCCUCUCCUUUCCGUUUUAGUUUAAAGCCUUUUGGAUACAAUGAACCAGUUGGUUUCCAAAGUGUUCUUCCUGGUUAUUGUGAGGUGCAGUUCACUCCCUGCCAAAUAUUGUAGAUUGGGAAUCCAAAGUUUUAUUGAUGGCACAAUCUACUGCAUUCCCUCAUUGGAUGCCUCCCUCUUGUUGAGAAUACAGAAGAAAAUACCACUACCAGAAAGCCAUCUUUUUAGCUUUCAUGCCUAAUUGUUCAUAGUCUCUUCAUAUUGUUUUUAGGCUCUUUGUUGUAUCAAUCAUCCACACACGAAUGGGGAGAAAGGGAUAACAAACUGUGGACUUUACAUUUUCAACUAUUGCGGUUUCAUUUUUAGCUGUAUACUUUAACAUAUUUUGUUCUGGAAAAUAAUUACAACUCAAAAUUUAUUGUAAGCUAUUUUGGGAAAACAUGAUGUCACAUAACAAUAAAUAUGGAUUUGAGAAUGCAACAAGGGAAAAAUUAAAAUGAAAUUCAGUGGAGCAGAUAUAUCAGCAAAAUUGCACAUUUAAGUUUUUUAAGAUAAGAUUGAGAAUAUUCUUGUGUUAUAUUAAUUAACUUCUCUCUGCCCCCCAUUAGUCAAAUUGAAUUCUGAGAAGUUUCUUAAUUUAAAUUAAUUUAAUUUUAAAACAUUUUUCUCUAAUAAAUGUAUGUCCUUCUCUACUAGAUAUUUGUUGUUUUUCUCUAGGGAAAGCACUGGGGCUCAGUGCUUAAGACUCUGGGCUUGUCAGCUGGAUAGUUGGUAGCCCGGGUUCGAGACCCAAGCUCCAUGUGACAGGAUGAGCUCCUGUCCUCACCUCACUGUAUGCUUUUGAACUACCAACCUAGCAAUUUGAAAGCAUACAAGUGCAAGUGGAUAAAUAGGUACCAUUUCAGUGGGAAGCUAACUCCAGAGGUGGUAUUCAGCAGAUUCUGACCAGUUCUGGAGAACCGAUAGUGGAAAUUUUGAGUAGUUCGGAGAAUUGGAAAAUACCACCUCUAACUGCAGAUUUUACAGUAUUCUUCCCCUGCCACGCCCACCAAGCCACGCCCACAGAAUGGUAGUAAAAAAAAAAUUGAAUCCCACCACUGGCUAACUCCAUGACGUCAUGCUGUGGAAUGUCUUCAGACAGAACUGACUCAAUGGCCUUGAAAUGGAGAUGAGCACCUAUAACUGGCAAUUACUAGCAAGGUGAUACUAUAUCCACAGGAACUCCUUUAUGUAUUUUUGGGCAUUUUUUGAUGAUGGGUGUAAGGUGUUGUUUUGUAAGGACUUGAAUUAUAAUUAAUACACUGCAGAUAAAUCACUCUGACAUAUCUUCAUCAAUAAUAUAUAUUUAAAAUAAUACAUCUGUAUAUUUGAGCAUCCUUUUCAUGUUACUUUUAUAUAUGAAAGAAACUUAUUUUUGGAAAAAGUAAAUAUUCUAUUAAAUUUCUACAGAAAAAUAGACUGAGAAUGUCCAUCAUUAAUAUAUUAUGGAAUUUUAGUUCCAAAUCCAUUUGAUAUUGCAAAAUCCACGGCAAACAACACCCCAGAUUUUAGCAUUAAAUUCUUAUUGCUUCUCAACUCAAAAUAAAAUAUGCUGUUAACACAUAAUAACAUUCAACCAAAAAAUGGACAAUCCACAAUAUAUUUCAUUUUGCUUCUAAGUUAUCAGCAUUUUUUAACCAUAUCAGACAACUCACAGGUCUGUUUGGGAUUAUACAAGCACUGAGAGAAUUGUAAAUCAUUAUCAGACUAUCUGCAUUACAUUGCUAAAUCGAUUAACUAGACCUACACAGUAUUCUGUAAUAAUAUCAAGCAGUAAGUAAGCCAUAUUGUUCAUAUCCUAGUUUUAAACUGGCUGAACUUAAAGUUCAAGCUAAUUCGUACAGAGUGCAAAAGAAAAGAAUAAUUUCUAGAAUGAUGGUGUUUCUGCCAGAUAAAAGUUCUAGUGGAUGGCAUAAUAACAAUGUAACUCUAUGUUACAUCGAACUACAUAGUUUAGCACCUUUUCUGCCAAUUGAGGAGUCAAAAAUCUACCUUUGAUCUCCAUCAUAAAUACUAAUUAUUAUUUUUUUAAAAAGACUACUCUUAGCAGAUAUUGGGAAAUCUAAGUGUUAUGUCUGGGAGUCAGAAAUUCAUAAUACUCAAAAUUAAUUGGAAAAGGCUGGAGUAAAGUAUUGCUUAACUAAGUGCAUUUUCUGCUCCUUGUUUCAAAGUUUCCUUUAAGCCUGUUUUCAGCAUCUUCAAGAGGAAAUAUUCAAACCUUGUAAAGUCUAUGUCUGAGCAGCAAUAAUUUCAUUUAUAUUAAUUAUCCUUCGCAAACAUGCUACUCAUAUGACUAUCAGGUUAAUACACACACACUCACUCACGAUCGCCAAUAUUCAAUGAUGGAUAUGGCACAAGAAAAAGAAAUAUAAAUAUAUUAUAUAUUAACAACUACUAAUGAAGAAUAAGGCUGCACGAGAAUUUAAUUUGGUAAGAGUAUUGCCAAGAUGCAUAUGAUGGUGUGGAGAACAGCUCUUUAAAUGAAAAGUAUGAAUACAAGCAAAAAUAAGCAUUUUCAUUAAUGAGGGUCAUAUGAAGCAUGUAGGAGGACCAAAUUGAUAAAAACUUUCAUGUACUAUAUGAAAUAAUAAAACUAUAAUUGCUUAAAAUCUGAAAAUUUAAGGUACUCCUUCAGAUUCUGAGAUCCUAAACUGUAACUUACUUACCUGGGAAGUUAAUUUAUCAGUAUUAAUGUUUAUGCAAAAUUGAUUUUCUAGCUGUCUGUCUGAUGCUGACUCAAUAUAACCAACAAUAACUAGUAUUAUACAUACGUUAAAUCUUCUAAAUUGAAAAAUAAAUUUCCUAUUCUUAUCUCUGU